AUUCUCUAGGUGAAGCAUCAGGAUGUGCAGGCCAAGCUGAUGGAAGAGAUUGAUCGGGUUGUGGGGGAUGGACGAGAAGACAUUGAAGAGGAGGAUUUGAAAAGAUUAUUAUGUGUGUGAAUCAUUCUAUUGUCUUUUUCUUCUAUUUAUGUAAUUAUCUGGCAUAUAAUACAAGUAGAUUACAUACC
Molecule: long non-coding RNA, 188 nt
Organism: Magnolia sinica
Lineage: Eukaryota; Viridiplantae; Streptophyta; Magnoliopsida; Magnoliales; Magnoliaceae
Exons: 2
Source: RefSeq, a predicted model, not a curated record